GUUUAAAACGGCGCCGCUUCUUGUAAGCGCGAUUACUGAUAGAGUGCGCGCCGAUGUGUUAAAGGAGUUUCCGUGCGCUACGAUCCGUCUCGCUCCUGUCUGGAUCCCUACCGUGCUGUUGACAGCGAGGAUGAGGAAGACGCCCUCAACUACCUUAAUUCGUUACCUCUGAGCGGAGUAAAACUGUAGGCUCCUGAUCCUCUCCGCGUUUCACGGAGAUGAUGAUAAGGUGUCACACUCGCAGCUCUGGGCCACGCUACGGAUGUCGUCAUGCGCCCCGGUGGCGUCGCUGAAUAGCGGGGAGUCACUGUGCCAGGUCCGGUCACACCGGGAAAGUUGCGCUCGAGAGUGUUGUGUGGGACAUGGGAGCACGACUGGGUCGAGUGGGAUACGCUGGUGAAGGAUCGGCGUCCUGAGUGGCGAGCUGUUUGUUGGUGUCGGGAGAACCAGGGUGCGUCGCACCGGAGCCAUGCGCACCGAGCACAGCUUCGUUUUGCUGCUCCUCAACGGGACGGCGUGCCUGUUGGUUUUGGCACAGGAAGAUCGGCACUCCUCUUCUUCGCUGAGUCCUAAGUCCUCCUCUCUUGCAGAACCCUCCAAGACUCUGAGUGUUCUUGGCGGUCAGGGCUCCAUCUCCCCCCUCAGCCGCUGGGUGCUGCAUAGCCGCAGUCGAGCAGCCAAUGCUUCAGCGCUAGAGCUACCCUACCGCUCACCUGUGCCCUUCUCCAAGCAAGAAUUUUGGGAGAUGCUGGGCAGUGACCUCCUCAAGCCUGACACAGCUUCUGAUGACAACGCCUCUGCAAGCUCCCGGGUCAAGCGCCGUCCCAUUGUCAAGACAGGCAAGUUUAAAAAGAUGUUUGGCUGGGGCGAUUUCUACUCCAACAUCAAGACAGUGCGUCUCAACCUGCUCAUCACUGGAAAGAUUGUGGACCACGGUAAUGGGACAUUCAGCGUCUACUUCCGGCACAAUUCCACAGGCCAGGGCAACAUCUCCGUCAGCUUGGUACCCCCUGUGAAGGCGGUGGAAUUCGACUUGGAGCGCCAGAGCGUGGUGUACCCUAAGGACUCCAAGAUCUUUAACUGCCGCGUGGACUACGAGAAGGUGGACCGCAGCAAGCGCACCUCGCUGUGCAACUAUGAUCCAUCCAAGACCUGCUUUCAGGAGCAGACCCAGAGCCACGUGUCCUGGAUUUGCUCCAAGCCCUUCAAGGUCAUCUGCAUCUACAUCUCAUUCUACAGCACAGACUACCGGCUAGUGCAGAAAGUCUGUCCGGACUACAACUACCACAACGAGAUGCCCUACCUUCCCUCUGGAUAGAAGGGAAUGGGCAAAGGGGGCAGAAAGUCAGGGAUGGGAUUUGAGAAGAAGUGAGGAGCGGUACAACCGAGGAGGGAGGGAUGAGGAAAAAAGAGCAUGAGUGAUGAGAAUGGAAGUAUUGAUGUGGGAGGUCUGGGUAUAUUUCAAGUUGUAGAAAAAGCUCUCUUCAGGGUGUUUAUGGGACCCUUUAGGGAAUCGUACCUAUUUGGAAAAAAAGACCCCUUUGCAAACCGAGCAUUUUUCCAUGGAUUGUGUUUGAUCAUCUGUAAAAUUCUUAAGGUGAAUGUAAGGCAUUUUUGCUCCUGUGAUAAAUGUCUUUAAAGAAACUCUCUAAAAAAAAUCCUGACAAAUGUGACUGCAAAGCUCAACAUAUGCAAAUCAAGCUCUCUGCUGCAGGUAUGUGGGUGAGAGAGAGCACACUGACAUAAGGCUUUGGUGACAGGCAACCCCCACCGGUGUGCUUUUAACGCAUCAUCGGGCCUACAUCAGGGCAAGGUGACAUACAUAUCUGAGAAAUCAUAAAACAAAGAACAAUUACUAUGUUGAUUUCAAUACGCCUACUAUGCAGAUGCUAGGGGUGGUGUUCAGGUUCCUGAGGACAAAAGAAGUCUAUAUUUUCAGUGUAUAAUUCAGGUUGAACUCUCCAGAACAGCCAACAACAACAACUUAGACACAAAUGACCUCUGGGUAUCCUCAACUGCAAGUGUUCUCAAUAUAAAAGAGUGAAGAAAGACAUGAUUAAGACAGUGGAGCAUGCAAAAAAGAAAAGAAAAGAAAAAAAACACAGCAAAGAGAGAAAAGGCAAAAGUGAGAGAGGGUUUAGGACACUUUUUAAUUAAAAGUGAAGCAGAGAGAGAUGUUGAGUAUGAAUUGCAGCAUCCACUCUAUUGUUCUAGCCAUAUGAGAUGAGGGGGAAAAGAUUACAUUUUGUUGCUGACAGGACGCCUGAUUUCUCAGCAUGAUAAGUUACCCACUGAAUGCAAGAUUGCUCCAUCCUUUUUCUGCUAGAGUCAGCCUGUAAUCUGUGAUUAAAAAGCAGAAUAUUAUGGCGAUAAUUAUGCAUAAUUUAAGACUUAUUUAAAGACUUUGUUAAAUGGAUUGGAUAGAUUCAGAUAUUCAUUUGCACUGGGAAAUCUUCUGACAGGCCAAAUUACUGCAUUAGACAAAUCAGCAGUCAACUUGACCUUCAACAGCUGUGUAAUUUAAUGACCAUUUCUGUUAAGGUCAUGUUGUAACAAACAGAUUAACUUUGAUAGUGGGCGAUGAGGUCAGAAAGUGAAAGAGUAUAAAAAAAUAAUAAUAAAGACAAGAAAGGAGAAGAAGAAUGGAAAUACAGCUACAGUGACAUGAAAUGUGUCUGUGAUGGUCAGGGAGUUGACGGACAGAGAAGAAAGUUGUUAGGGUGUUGUUAGAACACCAAGUGAAGAGGACAGACACAGAAACGGGGGGAAAAGAAUAUAAUAAGCAUGGGUUGAAUGAUGAUGCUAAAUGCAUUAACAAUGCCUCAAUGUGGAACAUCAAAGCAUCAUGCUGUUCGAUUCAAUGGAAGAAGAAAACAAAGCAAAAGAGAGAAGGAGAAGGUAAAUGGCAGUCUUUUUAUGGGUUUAUACCUAAAAGCAUGUCUUGCCUGAAGAGAAAGCCAGCGUGGUGUAUCCCCCUCAGGCCUGCACAUUAGCACUGAUAUAAAGGCAGGAGCAUCCUGAGCGCUGCGUCUAUUUAUGCUCAGUUAUGAAGCACUGUACCCAUUCCAUUUAUCUCACUCUAUUCCCUUUCCAUCCUACAUAGGCUCAUUAGGAACUGCUCAUGGAGCCAUUUUUCAAAUGUUCUAUUUGAGUGCUUAAAAAGCUAACUCAAUCAAAUAUAAUACCCGUCUUACUACAUUAUUCAGAUUCAAGUGAUCAAUAACUUUAAUGGUCCUUUAACUGUUCAUACUCAAUAUUAUUAUGUAAUACUGUAUAUAUUAUCAUAUCCACAGAUACAUAUGUGAUGUGAUAUACACACUAGGCCUCGUGUAGUGGGUGUGUACUGUACUGUGGCUUUCAGGUGUCUCUGGAGCUUGCAUCUUCACUACACACUAAUCCCUUUAAAUUUAACUACCUGCUAAUCCAUCCGGUUUAAUCUCAUCUAAUUACAGAAACUCUAUUCUCCUCUUGACUAAUUACAUGCCAAUCUUAUCUAUUUAACUAAAUCUCCUCCGAAGUUUAAAAACACCCUAAUCUCCUCCAGGUAAACUACAACUAAUCUCCUCCAGUUUAAAAAUACCCUAAUCUCCCCCAGUUUAAUACACCCCAAUCUCCUCCAUUUUAAAUACAGCCUAAUCUCCUCCAGUUUAACUAUACCCUAAUAUCCUCUAGUUUAUCUACACCCUAAUCUCCUCCAGUUUAAUACACCCCAAUCUCCUCCAUUUUAAAUACAGCCUAAUCUCCUCCAGUUUAACUAUACCCUAAUAUGCUCCAGUUUAACUACAGCCUAAUCUCCUCCAGUUUAAUACACCUUAAUCUCUUCCAGGUACACUACACCCUAAUCUCCUCCAGUUUCAAUAAACCCUAAUCUCCUCCAGUUUAAUACACCCUAAUCUCCUCCAGUUUCAAUACACGCUAAUCUGAUCCAGUUUCAAUAAACCCUAAUCUCCUCCAGGUAAACUUCAUCUAAUUCUAAUCUAAUCUAAUUCUUCCAGUUUAACUAUACCUUAAUCUCCUCCAGUUUAACUACACUCUAACCUCCUCCAAAUAACUACGUUCUAAUCUCCUUCAUUUUAAAUACAUUCUAAUCUCCUCCAGUUUAUGUACAUGCUAAUGUAAAUGAUAGCCAGUGUUUUUACCCCCUCCCCAUUCUCUCUCUCUCUCUCUGUCUCUCUCUCUUACCAUCAAUUUCUGCUUCUUCACCUUUCCUCCUUAGCAGCUGGGCCCACAUCUGUUACAUGGUCCACAAUUCACAGAAUUCACCACAAAUACCUAACCUAACAUUACUGCCUUGUUAAACAUUACUGUCAUACAAAUGUCUCAUCAUCCUUCUGAAGGAUCUUGUUACCGUUAAAGUGUUGCUAAGUCACUAAUAACAUGGGGGGGAGAAGAAAAACACCGCAUGGUGUAGGAAAUUAUUCAGAUACAGAUGCAAAAGAAAGGGAUUUUUAAUGGUCAGGGAGAUCUAUGUGGGACUUUAUCUUCAGCAAGUAAGCUAAACCAGCUUAAUUAUUUUACAUAAUGUAGCAUCUGUUCUUUGCUCAGUUUGUUCUCCAAAAAACAGAUUUUGUCAUCGAGCGAGCUGUCGUUUGUGGACAGCAAUUCAGCAAUAGGCCUCAACCGGAGAGUGAGAGGAAAGGAUGAACUUGUACUGUCACGCGCUGGUGGGUGUUGCCAACAAAAGGAGAAAAGUUCAAGUGGUGGAAUGUGCCAGUUGUCAUAGCAACCGGCCCCUGUGAAGUGCGGACGGAGCCUCGGACACUUGGCUCUGAACUGAGUUAGUGCUCAAUACAAACUGAAACUGAGCUCUCUUAUGGCAGAUGGUACUGUCAGUACUCUAUAAAAUACAUCAUUAUAUACAUAUAUAAAUAUAUAUCCUCACAAAGCCAGCGGUCGGACUGGAUCUAUUGUAUGGGACACUCAAGUAGACUCUCUAGCUCAUUAAAGGUUUUCAUUCGAACCGAGCAGUAGAACAUCAGUAGUUUGAAGACAAAUCGAUUGCGUAAACGAGUAAAAUCAGGUGAGAAGAUAAGGUAGGAUGUUGCUGGGUUGAAGAGUCCAUGUAUCAGCACUGUUUUGACAAAGAUAUGAGAAAUUGAAGUACAGGUCAACUAUUCUGAGUCUAAAUCUAAUGUUUGCUGAUUUUCUGGGGCAGUUUAUAUUAUCCUAGCCAACAUGGCAUCAUACUUGCAAACUGGUAUCAAUUCACACAACUCAGGUUCCCUGAAAAUAACAGAAAGUCAGGGUUAGGUUUAGAAGUACUAUUAGCAUUUAUAACAAAACACGUUUAUUUGUCAUAUGUACAGAUAUCAGUGACAGUUUGUACCAGCCAUCAACAUAGCCAUGAUUCAUUUUAAUUGGUCCAAUUUUUUUUUUUUUAUGAUAUCAGGUUGAUCCCAGGAUCUAGUACACUAUAACACCAGCACAGAAGGGAAUACUGUAGAGCUUAUGCUGUAUGCUGUAUGCUGUGCUAAAUUAUUUUUCAGUGGGGUCUCCAGUUCAAUCCUGAGCUCACUGUCUCUAUGACGUUUCCGAUGCUGUGCCUGUGAUUUUGUUGCUUUCAUCUAGGUUCUUCACAAAAGCAUGCAGGUAGGUGAACUGGCUAAAUUAAUCUGAUCCUAUGUGUGUGUGUAAAUCGGUGUGUAAAUAUGUGUUUGUGUGCAAGAUGCCCUGGCAUCCCAUCCAGGGUGUAUUCCCACCCAGUGUUUCUGAGCAGAAUAGAUUGAAGGUUUUAUUUAUUUAUUUAUUUAUUUUUGGAGUAAAAUUAGCUUGGUAGAUCACAGAUAAUGUGCACUAUUUUUUCCAGCCAUUAUGUAAAUAUUUAAUUCCAUCAAGCUGAGCAAAAGCAAACGUAAAUAUGUGUUAACCCACUUACAGUUUGCUCACAGAUCUGCCGAGCAAUUACUUCUAUAACAGUUUUGACGAAUAUGUCAUUUUAAUUUUAGUGAGAAAUCAGACGAAGCUAGUCUAAUUAUUAAAGGCUAAUUUUACUACAUCAGGUAGCAGAUGUCAAUAAAGUGAUGUCUUGUUGCCGCCUGCAGUCAGUUUGUUCAGCAAAGCAUCAGGGUAUCAAUCCUUUUAUCUCUCUUCAGUUUCAGACAGACCCGAUGUGAAAGUCUUCAUUAUUGCUGCAUUUGCAUACUCCAAUUGAAUGCCCACGGCAACACCGGGCUCGGACAAAAGGUGCAGGUAAUAAUCCAUACGGAGAAGCAUGCGAGUGAGAGAAUGAGAGAAAUUGUGUUAGAGGGAGAUUAAUGGCACAAUAUUUUGUACCAACUGAGGCAAAUUUCAUUUGCUCCUUCUUUUAUUCUAUCAUGGUAUUUUUACUUCCUUUCCAUUAUAUUAUUCCCCCACGUCCUGCAUUUUCUUAAGCUAUGUGUCCGUUUCUCUUUUUCUGACACUUUUGUAUUAAUGAACACACUUUUUUGCACUCAUUUCGAGGCCCUAAUUGACUUUAAAUCUGCUCGGCACCUUAAUUAAAUCUCUGAUUACUGAUAACAAGCAGAUGAGUUCAAACAGUCAGCAUGCUACACAGCUUUAAACAAGAUCGAUUACAGCCUAGUUAUCGACACCUCCACCUCUCUGCUCCAUUUCACUCACACCCUCACCCCUCUCUCUUUCUCUCUCUCUCUCUCUCUCUCUCCUUUUCUCUUCCUUUAGCCAUUACUUUUCUCCUCUCUUCUUUUCUCCCUCGAGGCAGGCACCCCUUUAUUCCCCUGUAAGAGUGCAGCCUGCCUCAGGAUAACCUUGGUGAGAAUGAUGAAAGGAGGGGAAAAAAGUCAACAGGAGGGAACGUAGAUCUAAUUUGGAAGGUCGGCUCCCACUCAACGCGAUGUAAUGUAAUUUAAAAGAGCAGAGUGCCUCCGAAGCCAAAUAACCAGCAAGAGAUCAUGAACGAAAGCAUAGCGCAGAGAAAAGGAGGAAAAACACAAAGAACAACAGAAAAACAAGGACACAUCUGAAACAAUUGAUCUAAAUAAGUGAAUCGUGAACAAAACUGAACAAACGAUUUAGCUUUAAAGGCUGAAAGAACCCAAAUAGGACCCAAAUCUGCAACUUCAGAUGUGUGGACAAUGGAAUAAAUCAGAAAUCUUUUUGAACUCUACCUGUAUUAUAUCACUCAGUCCUUUAACAUGGAUCUAUGGAGUGGUUUAAACCGAAUGAUUCAAUAUUUUGAGGCUGUACUUAAUAGUAUUUUUGUACACAUGAAUCCUACCCCAAUCAUAUCACUUUGCAUUAUUGAGGGGAAAUGGAGAUCCUUAAUGAUUGGGUGGUUAUAAAUUCUAGAUUUCUGAUGUGAUCCUACCUGGAAUCUUUAAAAACUUGAACCUUGAACACUGUGGUUCUCACACUUUGUAGUCAACAACUACUUUUCCUCCAAUCCAUGUAUCAUUAUUCCAAUCCAUAUCCCAAAAAAUGACAAAAAAAAGCAUUACCCCCCCCCCAAUGUAUUGCUUUUGCAAAUAUUGUAAAAUAAAGUACUUUUUAUUGCUUGUUUUUUUUUUUGUUGUUGUUGUUUAAAUGUUUGUUUAUUUUAUUGUUUGUUUUCUUUAAUGCAUGGACCAUCUACUCUUUUAAUUUGGUAUUUUGGAAUAUUGGCAUGAGUAGGAUUCUCGAAAUGACAAAUUUGUUGAAAUUGCAUUAAAGUUGCAUUUAAUAGCCAUGUGCUGUGGUCGAGAUUGUUGGCUCAAAAAAUGUUUAUUAUUUAUUGACAUGGCUACUGACAUUUCUAGGGGCUUAUCAGUUACUUGUCCCAUUCUUCUUCCUUCAUGUUCCUUCUUGGCAAAAUGCUUGAAGCCUAUACACCAAUUUAAAGCAGAUGUGUUUCAUGUGAUGUUGUGUGUCAUCAGCUGUAACAUCCAUAUAUGGAUCCAUCAGUGCCAUCUUUUCGACUUGUAACAAUUCAAGACUUCAUGAUGUAUUUUCCUCGGACUUUUGUGUUCGAAGAUUAAAACGAGGUGGAAAAAGACACUAAGGGUUUUUUUUAUUGGCAUGAAAAAAUCGCUGAGAAUUCGGGAUUUUCAUGCUUGUUUUCUUUACAAUAAAUUGAAGGAUUUUUUUUUAAAGUGUAUUUAAAUUUUCACAGUUUUACCUAUAAUAAUAAUAAUAAUAAUAAUAAUAAUAAUAAUAAUAAAUGGAAUCCCACCCAACUUUGAAUCCCACCAAUGGUUUGGAUCUAUUUUCUCUAAAUAUUUCAUUUCUCAGCUCCACCAUAUCCUCAGCCCCAACAUGAUCUUCCAUCUAACUCUCUAACUUUCAGGUUAGUCUAC
This is an RNA transcript of Hemibagrus wyckioides, 8270 nucleotides long. It is a transcript of the gene named neurexophilin-1, with no coding region annotated. The record is from RefSeq and is a predicted model, not a curated record. The transcript has 3 exons. NCBI's taxonomy places the organism in Eukaryota, Metazoa, Chordata, Actinopteri, Siluriformes, Bagridae.